CCUACGGGAGGCAGCAGUGGGGAAUUUUGGACAAUGGGCGCAAGCCUGAUCCAGCAAUGCCGCGUGCAGGAUGAAGGCCUUCGGGUUGUAAACUGCUUUUGUACGGAACGAAACGGUUCGCUUUAAUAAAGUGGGCUAAUGACGGUACCGUAAGAAUAAGCACCGGCUAACUACGUGCCAGCAGCCGCGGUAAUACGUAGGGUGCGAGCGUUAAUCGGAAUUACUGGGCGUAAAGCGUGCGCAGGCGGUGAUGUAAGACAGAUGUGAAAUCCCCGGGCUCAACCUGGGACCUGCAUUUGUGACUGCAUCGCUAGAGUACGGUAGAGGGGGAUGGAAUUCCGCGUGUAGCAGUGAAAUGCGUAGAUAUGCGGAGGAACACCGAUGGCGAAGGCAAUCCCCUGGACCUGUACUGACGCUCAUGCACGAAAGCGUGGGGAGCAAACAGGAUUAGAUACCCUGGUAGUCCACGCCCUAAACCGAUGUCAACUGGUUGUUGGGUCUUCACUGACUCAGUAACGAAGCUAACGCGUGAAGUUGACCGCCUGGGGAGUACGGCCGCAAGUUGAAACGUCAAAUGAAUUGAGGCUGAGAGNGCGACGGCGACACGAGGGAGGAGG
RNAcentral lists this ribosomal RNA (617 nucleotides) under uncultured bacterium. RNAcentral's name for it is "bacterial SSU rRNA". It matches the Rfam family "Bacterial small subunit ribosomal RNA", at positions 338 to 951 of the family's 1533-position model. The record is from RNAcentral.